UGCCAGCAGCCGCGGUAAAACGUAGGAGACAAGCGUUAUCCGAAUUUACUGGGCGUAAAGCGCGUGCAGGUGGUUCGGCAAGUGGAAUGUGAAAUCUCCCGGCUCAACUGGGAGGGGCCGUUCCAAACUGCCGGACUAGAGGACGGUAGAGGGAGGUGGAAUUCCCGGUGUAGUGGUGAAAUGCGUAGAUAUCGGGAGGAACACCUGUGGCGAAAGCGGCCUCCUGGACCGUACCUGACGCUCAGACGCGAAAGCUAGGGGAGUGAACGGGAUUAGAAACCCCGGUAAUCCUAGCCGUAAACGAUGUGGACUGGGUGUCGGUGGGGUAAAAGCCAUCGGUGCCGAAGCCAACGCGAUAAGUCCACCGCCUGGGGACUACGGCCGCAAGGUUAAAACUUAAAGGAAUUGGCGGGGGA
This 416-nucleotide ribosomal RNA is filed under the name uncultured bacterium. RNAcentral's name for it is "bacterial SSU rRNA". It matches the Rfam family "Bacterial small subunit ribosomal RNA", at positions 506 to 920 of the family's 1533-position model. The record is from RNAcentral.